UACGGCUCAGUAACACGUGGUUAACCUGCCCUAAGGUGGUGAAUACUCCCGGGAAACUGGGGCUAAUGCACCAUAGUGGAUACUUGCUGGAAUGCUGUAUCCUCGAAAGAUCCGUCGCCUUAGGAUGGGACUGCGUCCGAUUAGGUAGUUGGUGGGGUAACGGCCCACCAAGCCUGUCAUCGGUACGGGUUAUGGGAGCAAGAUCCCGGAGAUGGAUUCUGAGACAUGAAUCCAGGCCCUACGGGGCGCAGCAGGCGCGCAAACUUUACAAUGCGAGCAAUCGUGAUAAGGAAACCCUGAGUGCCUGUCGAUGCAGGCUGUUCAUCUGWWUAAAWUGCAGGUGAAGAAAGGGCAGGGCAAGACCGGUGCCAGCCGCCGCGGUAAUACCGGCUGCUCGAGUGAUGGCCACUAUUACUGGGUUUAAAGCGUCCGUAGCUUGACUGAUAGGUCUCUUGGGAAAUCUUAACGCUUAACGUUAAGACGUCUAAGAGAUACCGUCAGUCUUGGAACUGGGAGAGGUAAACCGUACUUCGGGGGUAGGAGUGAAAUCUUGUAAUCCUCGAGGGACGACCUAUGGCGAAGGCAGUUUACCAGAACAGCUUCGACAGUGAGGGACGAAAGCUGGGGGAGCAAWYYKYYSUWUUUAUACCCCGGUAGUCCCAGCCGUAAACAAUGUGCGCCGGUUUUCGUAACCACGCGUUACUGAUGCGCCGCAGAGAAAUCGUGAAACGGCACCMCCCUGGRAA
Molecule: ribosomal RNA, 746 nt
Filed under: uncultured Methanocorpusculaceae archaeon
Lineage: Archaea; Methanobacteriati; Methanobacteriota; Methanomicrobia; Methanomicrobiales; Methanocorpusculaceae
Description: bacterial SSU rRNA
Rfam family: Archaeal small subunit ribosomal RNA
Source: RNAcentral